Varanus komodoensis (Komodo dragon) is the source of this 2759-nucleotide long non-coding RNA. RefSeq lists it as uncharacterized. The transcript is spliced from 3 exons. NCBI's taxonomy places the organism in Eukaryota, Metazoa, Chordata, Lepidosauria, Squamata, Varanidae. The record is from RefSeq and is a predicted model, not a curated record.
AUUUUGUACCGGGAUUAGCGGAGCGGCGUCAUAGUGGUCGUUGGUCGUCAUAGUGUAGGCUAGCAUGUCAGUCCGGAGCAGCAGCGUGAAGUUAACGGGAGCCGUUUCGAUUGAGUGAGAUAAUAAUUAGUGUUUUCAAGUGUUUCAUCAGUAAGCUAAUAUUAUUGCCCGUGUUGCGGGGAGAGGGGCUAAGGGCGACUGAGACCGCGAGUGCCUCUUUCAUGAGCUCACCUAGAGGCUUUUCACAUUGUCAUUUUGGCACAGUCAGUGUCGGACCCGCACACAUACAUUCUUGCUGUUGAACAGAAGAAUAUGAAGAUCUCUGUUAAAAUGAUGAGCAUUUCCAAGAAUACAAUUGAUACCAGAUAUUCCUAGAAUGAGGUUUUCCUAAGUGGAAUGCAGCUGGAUAAAUUGUUACUGGAAAUAAUUGCAGCUGUCAAUAAUCUGACUACAUAAAUGCAAUGAAAGGUUAAGUGAUUCAAGUCUUCCACAUCCGAUCUACAACUGAAGAUUGUAUCACAAAUGCAACUGGUCAGGAACAGCAUUCAGUACUUAAAGUAGCAUGGUGCAGUAUUUGCCUACAGAUGUUCAAAAUUCAAAAAAGAAAAAACACUGGGGCAUAAGUGUUCAGUGUAACUUGUCUAGAAAGUUUGCGAUGGCUUGGGCAGUUUUUUCCUGGUGAGACACUAUCCAAUCUAGCCCUACUUUUUGUGGUAUUUUUGUGGGCAACUCAAAAACCAAUUUAGAAUUGAUACUCUAAAAUACUCUCAGGUACUGCAUAUACACAGAGUGGACAUAAAAGGAACUAAUGAAAUACCAAGUGCUGAGAAAUAAAUCAGAUUCUAACUUUUAUGUAACUUUAGAUGUUAGAACUAAUUCUUGUGCAUGGAGCUUAAUCUGGCUAUGAAUUUCUGCUGCUUGGAAUGGUUGUUUUCCCCACCCACAGAUUUGUUUUUGAAUGCUGCCAUAAUUGGCAGCUUGAAUGCCUUAAACCUCAUGGAUACUAACCCUUUGCUUUAAAGGUUAGUAGUUCAUUUUGCCCUAACUUUCUGUAUUCUUGCAUGCCUGCUAAUUGUGGUGUUUUUGUUCAGUGAGUCCAAGUCUCAAUUUUCUACUGUUCUUGUCACCUAGAAAGCUGGGGUUCACCUAUUAUGGCUGGACUUUGUAACCAGCCAUUAUUUGUAGUCUCUGUCAUUGUCAUACCUCUCCUAGAAAUGCUGACACAUGUGGAAACUGGGAGCAGAUAGGUAUCAUUUGUCACUUUUUACUGGUAGGCAGCUGGAGUAGCUGUUGAAUGGGCAUAGAAACUUUAGCUAUUUUCCCCUUUCACAGGUAAGACAAAGCUUGACCCUUCCCCCAAAUUCAGCUCUACCCCAGCAUUCGACAAUCACUGCUAAUACAGAUUUAACAACAGUAGAUGUGCAGAUUCAAAUGAAGAGCUUGAUAUUUCUGGGAAACUUUUUAAUAACGAACUAUUAAAAUGGAAGUAAGUUCUAUGACGUCCCAUUGGGCAUGUGGACAUUAAUAUGAAUUCAUGGCUGUAACAUCUAAUGUAAUGCAUUUUUUUCUUGUAUUGAAUUUUAAUACUCAGAUUGUAGGCUGAUCUCCUCUUUUGCAGAGAGAUAGUAGGGGUGUUUUUCUAAUAUGUGUUCUAGAUUUUCUGUAAAACCAACAGAUUGACUUUUACUUAGAAGGAGCUAAAUAAUUGCUUUGUUAUACACCUGCUGUCCUACUUCCACUUAAAUAUUUCAUUCUGCCAAACAGUUCUUGUAUUUUCAGCUUAGCCAUUUUCAUCCAAUCUCUUGAGCAAUAUUUCAGGAAAUAUGUGAAAUGCUAUGCCAAUCCCAAACAAGCCUGUUGGCACUGGGGCAAGCAGCAGCAGAUAUUACAAAAGAAAUGUACCUGCUGAUUGAAAUUUCUGCUUUAGCUUUCCUAAAUAAUUUCAUUCUACUUACAAUAGUAAAAUAUGGCAUAAAGCCCUAAGGUAAGUUUGUUAGUGACCCAAUAAUGUUGUUGAAUAGUGAUAUUGGAAUGAAAUUUGGUACAGAAAUUCAGAGUCCAGUUCUGCUUUUCAAGUUCCAUGGCCAUCUAUUUGGUUAGCUACCAGAAGCCCCAUUUUGCAGGAAAAGGGGGCACACAAAGGGAGCCAUCUCCCAAGAGCCCUGUGGAAUUAUUGAUUCUGCAGGAAAAUAUGCAGGAAGUAUGCUUUAUGUUUCCAAACAGAAUUGUGCUCCCAUAGCCUGUCAAGCAGCAAUUUCAUGGGCUGUCAGGCAUCUAAUUUUUCUGGCAAGCAAAGCAUGUACUUCCUAAGCAGCUUAUUUUGUUGCCGAAUCACUGUGAUUUUGGUAGCAGGAUUCAGGAGCUGCACAAAUUUUCAUGGCAGACUGUGUGCUACCCAGCCCUACUUUACAGAGUGCAAGAAGAUGGGUCACCUGUAAAAAUUUUCACAGGUGGGUGGUGUAUGAAAUGGACACGUAGUUAAAAUCAAAGAUAACAUUGAAAGUGUUGCAUGGCUUGACUAUUACUAUAACCUGUAUAGCAGCUAAAUGGAAAACUCCAAACCAUCCUAUGUUAAAUUGAUUCAGUAAAAUCUGUUUGUAUGUAUAAAUUGACAUGUUUAAGAAAUGAAAAAUAAUGGAAAGACAAACUUGUUAAAAAAAUGGUUUUUUAAUUCUUAGAACACUAAUUUUCAAGACACUAUAGUGUUAUCUCUCCUCUAAAAUACAUAUUUUCAUAUAAUUAAAAUGAUCAACAACUUG